RNAcentral lists this ribosomal RNA (201 nucleotides) under Triticum aestivum (bread wheat). RNAcentral describes it as "partial small subunit ribosomal RNA". The record is from RNAcentral. Lineage: Eukaryota; Viridiplantae; Streptophyta; Magnoliopsida; Poales; Poaceae.
AUGGAUGACAUUUUGAUCCACAACUCGAUGUUGCAAGAGCAUAUUAGCCAACUCUGUGUAGUUUUUCGACUCCUAAAAGAGAACAAGGUGGUGAUCAAACGGUCCAAGUGUGAGUUUGCUACCAAACAGAUCGAAUACCUGGGGCGUCGAAUCAGUGCCGAUGGCGUCGCUACGGAUCCUGCCAAAAUCGCAGCAGUCUAG